This 28-nucleotide non-coding RNA is filed under the name Mus musculus (house mouse). The record is from RNAcentral. Lineage: Eukaryota; Metazoa; Chordata; Mammalia; Rodentia; Muridae.
UGAGUUUUGUGUGCAGAGUAGUAGGCCA